UACGUAGGGGGCAAGCGUUAUCCGGAAUUACUGGGCGUAAAGCGCACGCAGGCGGUUCGCCAAGUUUGGAGUGACAGUUGUCGGCUCAACCGACAAAGGACUUCAAAAACUGGUGAACUUGAGGACGAGAGAGGAACAUGGAGCUCCAGGUGUAGUAGUGAAAUGCGUAGAUAUCUGGAAGAACACCAAUGGCGAAGGCAAUGUUCUGGCUCGUUUCUGACGCUCAGGUGCGAAAGCCAGGGGAGCGAACGGG
Molecule: ribosomal RNA, 253 nt
Filed under: uncultured bacterium
Lineage: Bacteria
Description: partial 16S ribosomal RNA
Rfam family: Bacterial small subunit ribosomal RNA
Source: RNAcentral